GACGAACGCUGGGCGGCGUGCUUAACACAUGCAAGUCGAGCGGUAAGGCCCUUUCGGGGGUACACGAGCGGCGAACGGGUGAGUAACACGUGGGUGACCUGCCCUCCAGCUCUGGGAUAAGCCUGGGAAACCGGGUCUAAUACCGGACUAUGACGUCCAUCGACGCAUGUUGUGGGGUGGAAAGCCUUGUGCGGCUGUGGAUGGGCCCGCGGCCUAUCAGCUUGUUGGUGGGGUGANGGCCUACCAAGGCGACGACGGGUAGCCGGCCUGAGA
This 273-nucleotide ribosomal RNA is filed under the name uncultured bacterium. RNAcentral describes it as "partial 16S ribosomal RNA". It matches the Rfam family "Bacterial small subunit ribosomal RNA", at positions 28 to 297 of the family's 1533-position model. The record is from RNAcentral.